This 2260-nucleotide long non-coding RNA is filed under the name Sus scrofa (pig). RNAcentral's name for it is "lncRNA (ENSSSCG00060050836.1)". Lineage: Eukaryota; Metazoa; Chordata; Mammalia; Artiodactyla; Suidae. The record is from RNAcentral.
GCGGCGCCGCGGGAAACCCAGCCUCCGGCGGCGCCCACGCUGCCCCUCCGCCGGGAACAAACGCCUUCCAAUCGAAAGACCGUCUCCCGGGUACCCCUAAAGGUGUGUACUGCUACUGCCAGGAGGCCUAGAUCCUUUGACCGCCCAAACCAUCCGCUACUGUGUUACAGUGAAGUCCAUCUACAUCAUCCCGCUUAGCAAAUAGGGUGCUGGCACUUUGAAACACGUUAGGUCCGGUGUUUCGCCAGAGGAGUACUAAGAAGGAGCUGCGAUCCCCUUGUUCUCCACGUUGAGGCAGUGGGAUGGUGUUCCUGGCACACCUGUAAGCCACCGGGCACAGGCUUCUCCCCCUGGAAAGUUCUGCCACUUUGCCAGAGCAGACUGUUGAAUAAUUGCAAUAAAAGCAUGGAGAAAAAGCCAGAUGGAAGAAUUGUUUUAAAACAAGUAACCCACCAGUGGAUGAGAAGACACUACAACUUCAGUUAAUUCUAGCAACCUACACCACAGCUCUCAGCAACGCUGGAUCCUUAACCCACUGAGUGAGGCCAGGGAUCGAACCCGCAAUCUCAUGGUUCCUAGUCGGAUUUGUUAACCAUUGUGCCACGACGGGAACUCCUAAAAUGGGUGAUUUUUUAAAAGUGCACUUUCGAAAAUUGAAGGGAAGAAAACCCCUCGUUUCAGUUAUUCAGCCAUCCUCUUCAGAGCCGAGCCACCGUGCAGUUUUAUUUUCUACUCUGACCACACUCUCGUGAACUUGCAAGACAAAGUUUUCAAUGUUCUAAUAAAAAAUGUCAUUUCCCUUUUCUUCUCCUUCCCUUUCCUUUCACCUCUUUUUUUUUUUUUUUUCUGUAAGGUUCACCAAACCCAGCAUUUCAUGACGAUAAUAAUAGCUCAAAAUUAUUGAGUGCCCACUAUUUCCCAGAGACUAAGUUUUUUAUGUGUGUUAAUUCUUUUCAUCCUUAAAAUGGCGAUGUUUCUCAAGAAGAGGUGUUAUGGUCCUUUAUGCAGUAGCACAUAUUAUUCUUGCAAACCAUUGAGUAUGUCUUUUAUAGCAAUACAUGUUUUAAGGAGUUAUCUUCAUAGUUUGAAUAAAUCCCUAUAAGAAAGAAUGCUUAUCUAGUCAUCCCCAAUACACACACACAGGUACACGAAUCCCUGCUAUGUGCUCAGUCUAGAGCUCUUUACACUAGCAUGAGUCUCCAGGAACAGGGGCCCCACAGUUCCUGAGUUCACAGCUUUGGAUUCAUGUACACACAAAGACUGCCUACUUGUCUUUGAAUCACAGUUUCAAGUUCCUGGAAGAAUCAAGUGUCCAUUAAUGAUUCACUCAGCUAUAUCCAGGAGGAAGCAUCUUAUCGGGUGAAAGGAGAAGGAGGAGGAGGGGGAGGAGGGAAUGGAGGUGGAGGGUAGAUGAGGAGGAAGAAGAAAGGGAGAAGAAUAAAAUAUAUCAUAAGACUCGUCAGUUUUUGCUCUUAGUAAGAAUGUCCCUGAUAAAAGGAAGCAAUUUUCUAUCAGUGUUGAGUGGGAUUUGAAGAAAUUAGGACAUACAGAGAACAGCAGAGGCCAGACGAAGGACAAGGAAAGACAGCUUAUAGAGAAUUCCUUCAUUUUUCUUGUCUAAGGGUCUGAGCAAGUGCCUUAGUAAUGAACAUGGGAAAUGUAUGAGUUAUUUAUACUUAUUUGUUUAACUGCACAGCACCCUUGGUUUUCUCUGUAGUGUGAGUUGAAUCAUUCUCACUCAAUUUCUCAUAAUUUGAGUCAUAGAAAUCUUCCUAAUAUCAUUAUAAAGUUAUAUUGGAAUAGAGACUUCCAUCAGAAAUUUUAAUUAAGAUGCUUAUACGUAGGGCAGAUCACGUAAGUAGCAAAAUUUAUAGAAUACUGCAAUAAUAAGACUUUGCUGUCUGCACGUAUUCUGCCAUUACAAUUAUUAUUUCUAAGAUGUUAUUUCUAGAAGAAAAGAAAUGAAGGAGACUAUAAAGACAAAACAAAAAUAGAAGUGCAGUACUCAGUGCCUGAAUAUGUCUUUUGAAGUCUCUUCACAUGAUUUCAUAGAGUAAUUUGUGCUAUAACUAAAUUUUAGUUGUAAGCUUUUUAUGAGCCCUUCUCUUCCAGACAUAUUCCAUCUUUCUCCCCACUUUAUUGAAGAACACCAUGGUUUUUUUCUUUGUUAACAUGAAGAAUCAUAGAUUUUCUUCCAGGAAGCUUGCUAAUUAAUAUCUGUACCAUCCCCUAUGGAUGUUAACACACAGAGUGAAAGAAA